AGUCGAGCGGGAUCUGUUGAUCAAUCCUUCGGGAGAGAAACUUCAGGUGAGAGCGGCGAACGGGUGAGUAAUAUAUGGGUAAUCUGCCUUGAAGCCCGGGAUAGCCAUUGGAAACGAUGGGUAAUACCGGAUGUGCUCGCUCCGCACCUGCGGAGUUAUGUAAAGGUGGGGAUCUUCGGACCUGCCACUUUAAGAUGGGCCCAUAUCCUAUCAGCUUGUUGGUGAGGUAACAGCUCACCAAGGCUUUGACGGGUAGCCGACCUGAGAGGGUGACCGGCCACACUGGGACUGAGACACUGCCCAGACUCCUACGGGAGGCUGCAGUCGAGAAUCAUUGUCAAUGUACGAAAGUAUGAACAUGCGACGCCGCGUGGAGGACGAAGGCCUUCGGGUUGUAAACUCCUGUCAUGAGGGAGGAACCGCAGACGGUUAAUACCCGUUCUGUUUGACAGUACCUCAAGAGGAAGUCACGGCUAACUCUGUGCCAGCAGCCGCGGUAAUACAGAGGUGGCAAGUGUUGUUCGGAUUUACUGGGCGUAAAGGGUCCGCAGGCGGUUCUGUGUGUCAGAUGUGAAAAUCCACGGCUCAACCGUGGAACUGCAUUUGAAACUACAGAACUAGAGUACAGCAGGGGAGAGGGGAAUUCAUGGUGUAGCGGUGAAAUGCGUAGAUNUCAUGAAGAACACCGGUGGCGAAAGCGCCUCUCUGGACUGAUACUGACGCUCAUGGACGAAAGCCGGGGGAGCGAAAAGGAUUAGAUACCCUUGUAGUCCCGGCCAUAAACGGUGUGC
This 791-nucleotide ribosomal RNA is filed under the name uncultured organism. RNAcentral describes it as "bacterial SSU rRNA". It matches the Rfam family "Bacterial small subunit ribosomal RNA", at positions 60 to 814 of the family's 1533-position model. The record is from RNAcentral.